Molecule: long non-coding RNA, 1420 nt
Filed under: Rattus norvegicus (Norway rat)
Lineage: Eukaryota; Metazoa; Chordata; Mammalia; Rodentia; Muridae
Description: long non-coding RNA NONRATT006451
Source: RNAcentral
UGGUAACCUUGCCAUGGGACUGAGAGGCUGGGGGGAGGGUGGCUGGAAUGUGGGGGUGGGCAGUUGUGAAGGGGGGAUAACAGGGAGGGAUGGGCUGGAGAUAACUAUCUGUGGACCACCAUUUAGGUCCUGGUGGCCUCUGGUGAUCCACAGGCUCCAUUUGAGAACCACUGACUUCAUGAAAAAACAGGCUAUGUAAGACCUAAAAUCAAGGGAGAGGACGGACAUCUCCUGCUGCGAAGAUGUAGGUGCACCUGGUCUCAGAUUCCUGCAGUGAGAUCUGUCAACUCCACCUACGGCUACCUCAUUGUUGGGGGAGUCUUAGGUGGUUAUGCAAGGGUUUCUGAAGAAAUAAGGUCUGCUGAAGGGCUGUGGUUUGGUUGGAUGGGUGAUGGGAAAUUUGUUUCAGGAAACUGGGAGGCUGCGUGGUCUCUUGGAUGGGGAAGGUUUCUUUGUUCUGCUCUACUCCUGACACCUUGUGUGAUUGUAGGCAAGUAAUCCCUUAGAAUUUGUGUCUCCCAAUGUCACGUGGCUGGAGACAGGUUCUUAGGACUGCCUCGGAGAGUGGUGGGUGAAGUGAGAAAUGGAAUGAGUGCUAUUCAUGGAUGUGCUCAAUUUCUCAAGAUAAAAGUUUCGGUUGCUUUGGACAUUUAAUACCAUAACAGUUUAAUAGCAGAAGCAUUACCUGUGAUUCUUUUAUUAACAGAUUAAUACAAGGCACCAUACAUCCUCAUUGUGCUUGCCUCGUUUUCCCCUUAAGAAAUAGUUGCACGAAUAUGUACCUAGGGAUUGGUUUUGGAAAAAAAGGAAUAAUAAUAAUUGGAUUUAUUCUAUAUACUAAUACUUUGUAUAAAUUAUGAAAGUGAUAGUUGAAAAGUAGGGAAGAAUUACAUGUUUGCUUUUUUGUGACAUUGGAUUUAAAACUUGGUAGUAAUGAGCAAGUUCCCUACCACAGAGCCCCAUAGUCAGUCCUCCUUCAUUCAUCUGGUCUUGAAGCUGAGUGUUAAGGAUUAUAGGAAGUUAGACAUGAAGUAUUUUGAGUAUUUAUGCACUUAAUAGUUGAUGCACAUUGUUAGGUACAAAGAAGCUUCUGGAAGGGCUUUCAUUGUAAAGUGUGCUGUUAAUGUGUUUAUAGAUAAGGAGCAGGUAAAUAAAUGUUAAGUGAGUUUCCAAGGUGAGUCUUCACAGUUGACUCCCUAAAUACUUGUAUCAAAUAGUUUUGCUAUUUUUCAGUUUGUAAGAACCUUUAAAAUGAUUUUGCUUUACGUUUUGAAUAAAAUAUAAUCUGAGAAGCAAAUAAUUUUGAUAAAUCAUGUGUUCAUCAGAACAAGCUUACAAGUUUUACAAGAACUAAAAGGAAAGCAGUUUGUAUGUACUCAAGAGUAUCUGCUUGAUGAGAACCAGGGGAGCACUAUUAAAA